RNAcentral lists this ribosomal RNA (500 nucleotides) under uncultured bacterium. RNAcentral's name for it is "partial 16S ribosomal RNA". It matches the Rfam family "Bacterial small subunit ribosomal RNA", at positions 30 to 526 of the family's 1533-position model. The record is from RNAcentral.
AUUGAACGCUGGCGGAAUGCUUUACACAUGCAAGUCGAACGGCAGCACGGACUUCGGUCUGGUGGCGAGUGGCGAACGGGUGAGUAAUGUAUCGGAACGUGCCCAGUCGUGGGGGAUAACGUAGUGAAAAUUACGCUAAUACCGCAUACGAUCUAUGGAUGAAAGCGGGGGAUCGCAAGACCUCGCGCGAUUGGAGCGGCCGAUAUCAGAUUAGGUAGUUGGUGGGGUAAAGGCCCACCAAGCCAACGAUCUGUAGCUGGUCUGAGAGGACGACCAGCCACACUGGAACUGAGACACGGUCCAGACUCCUACGGGAGGCAGCAGUGGGGAAUUUUGGACAAUGGGCGAAAGCCUGAUCCAGCCAUUCCGCGUGCAGGAUGAAGGCCCUCGGGUUGUAAACUGCUUUUGUACAGAACGAAAAGGUUUCUACUAAUACUAGGAGCUCAUGACGGUACUGUAAGAAUAAGCACCGGCUAACUACGUGCCAGCCGCCGUAAAAC